AGAGUUUGAUCAUGGCUCAGGAUGAACGCUAGCUACAGGCUUAACACAUGCAAGUCGGAGGGGCAGCAUGAACUUAGCUUGCUAAGUUUGAUGGCGACCGGCGCACGGGUGAGUAACACGUAUCCAACCUGCCGGACGACUCGGGGAUAGCCUUUCGAAAGAAAGAUUAAUACCCGAUAGCAUAGUUCUUCCGCAUGGUAGAACUAUUAAAGAAUUUCGGUCAUCGAUGGGGAUGCGUUCCAUUUA
This 246-nucleotide ribosomal RNA is filed under the name uncultured bacterium. Its description in RNAcentral is "partial 16S ribosomal RNA". It matches the Rfam family "Bacterial small subunit ribosomal RNA", at positions 8 to 244 of the family's 1533-position model. The record is from RNAcentral.